GUCCUGACCAGAGUCUGAAGGAAACAGAGGUCUAGGAGUGGUUUAGUCUUGCCCCUCCUUGCUCUGGAGAAAGGGCUGUAGACUCCUGCAGUGAAUGGACAGCAUUAUAAUGAGGAAAAUACAGGCUAGCGCGGAGUCCAGGCUGCCAUUCUGUCCUGAUGCCCUGAACUGGACCCUGGCUGCCGACAAAAAGUAAGACUCACCGAUACCACAGUGAAGGCCGUGUUGACGAUACCCGAGCCGAUGGUGGCGUACACAGGUUGCUGCACACCUGCCUUCUCGAAGAUGCUCGUUGAGUAGUAGAACACCUGCCAGAAAGGGAGAUCAUUGGAGAUCCUCCAUGCUUAUGGUCUCCUUCCUCAAUACUAGUUACUAGUAGGUGUGGGAUCCAAGGUAAGAGUGUGUGUGUGU
RNAcentral lists this long non-coding RNA (411 nucleotides) under Mus pahari (shrew mouse). RNAcentral's name for it is "predicted gene 12868 (MGP_PahariEiJ_G0003770.1)". The record is from RNAcentral. Lineage: Eukaryota; Metazoa; Chordata; Mammalia; Rodentia; Muridae.